This 478-nucleotide ribosomal RNA is filed under the name uncultured bacterium. Its description in RNAcentral is "partial 16S ribosomal RNA". It matches the Rfam family "Bacterial small subunit ribosomal RNA", at positions 28 to 523 of the family's 1533-position model. The record is from RNAcentral.
GACGAACGCUGGCGGCGUGCUUAACACAUGCAAGUCGAACGGUAAGGCCCUUCGGGGUACACGAGUGGCGAACGGGUGAGUAACACGUGGGUGAUCUGCCCUGCACUUCGGGAUAAGCCUGGGAAACUGGGUCUAAUACCGGAUAGGACCACUGCCUGCAUGGGUGGUGGUGGAAAGCUUUUGCGGUGUGGGAUGGGCCCGCGGCCUAUCAGCUGGUUGGUGGGGUGAUGGCCUACCAAGGCGACGACGGGUAGCCGGCCUGGGAGGGUGACCGGCCAAACUGGGACUGGGAUACGGCCCAGACUCCUACGGGAGGCAGCAGUGGGGAAUAUUGCACAAUGGGCGCAAGCCUGAUGCAGCGACGCCGCGUGAGGGAUGACGGCCUUCGGGUUGUAAACCUCUUUCAGCACCGACGAAGCGCAAGUGACGGUAGGUGCAGAAGAAGGACCGGCCAACUACGUGCCAGCCGCCGCCGUAA